RNAcentral lists this ribosomal RNA (498 nucleotides) under uncultured bacterium. RNAcentral's name for it is "partial 16S ribosomal RNA". It matches the Rfam family "Bacterial small subunit ribosomal RNA", at positions 28 to 507 of the family's 1533-position model. The record is from RNAcentral.
GACGAACGCUGGCGGCGUGCCUAAUACAUGCAAGUCGAACGAGAGCAACCGGUGCUUGCACUGGUCAAUCUAGUGGCGAACGGGUGAGUAACACGUGGGUAACCUGCCCAUCAGAGGGGGAUAACAUCCGGAAACGGAUGCUAAAACCGCAUAGGUCUUCGAACCGCAUGGUUUGAAGAGGAAAAGAGGCGCAAGCUUCUGCUGAUGGAUGGACCCGCGGUGCAUUAGCUAGUUGGUGAGGUAACGGCUCACCAAGGCCGUGAUGCAUAGCCGACCUGAGAGGGUGAUCGUCCACAUUGGGACUGAGACACGGCCCAAACUCCUACGGGAGGCAGCAGUAGGGAAUCUUCCGCAAUGGACGCAAGUCUGACGGAGCAACGCCGCGUGAGUGAAGAAGGUUUUCGGAUCGUAAAACUCUGUUGUUAGAGAAGAACAAGUGCUAGAGUAACUGUUAGCGCCUUGACGGUAUCUAACCAGAAAGCCACGGCUAACUACGUG